Molecule: RNA transcript, 1775 nt
Organism: Manihot esculenta (cassava)
Lineage: Eukaryota; Viridiplantae; Streptophyta; Magnoliopsida; Malpighiales; Euphorbiaceae
Gene name: E3 ubiquitin-protein ligase RHF2A
Exons: 9
Source: RefSeq, a predicted model, not a curated record
CUCUCUCUCCCACUUUCUCUCACUUCUCUUUUCUCUUUAAUUCAUCCUUGGUUGCUUUCCUGUUUUCUAGGGUUUCCAUGAAGCUCUAGCAUCAUUCCAACGGGAUUACUCUGAAAGCUCUGAUCUUUCAAACAUUUCAUGGGCAUUUCUUAAGUUUCUUUCUUCACCCAUUUUCUGGAGCUUUUCCAAUUUCUCAUUGGAGUUUGGCUCGUUUUGAACUUCACACAGAUUUUGGUGCUUCAAAGGUUCUGGAGAUGGAGGAGGUCAAGAAACCUGAGAUUCAUAUGACAUCAGUUGCAGCUUUUGUGGAAGGAGGAAUUCAGGAUACCUGUGAAGAUGCUUGCAGCAUUUGCCUUGAGGAAUUUUGCGAAAGCGAACCUUCAACGGUGACUAACUGCAGGCAUGAGUAUCACCUCCAGUGCAUCCUUGAAUGGUGUCAGAGAAGCUCUGAGUGUCCCAUGUGUUUGCAAGCUCUCAGUCUGAAGGAUCCCACGAGUCAAGAAUUGCUGGAGGGAGUAGAGCAGGAGAGGAAGUUCAGAGUUGCUUCAUCUAGAAAUCCCACUAUAUUUCGUCAUCCUACACUUGGGGGUUUUGAAUUACGACAUUUACCAGUUGGUGCAAGUGAUUCUGAUCUUGAAGAGCGUAUAAUCCAGCACUUGGCUGCUGCAGCUGCUAUGGGAAGGUCCCACCACUUCAGUCGGAGAGAAGGCCAAAGAAAUAGGCAAUCCUCCCAUGGUCGUCCACACUACAUGGUGUUUUCUACACAUCCUGGUGCACCAUCUUCUGACCAUGUUUCUUCCUCAAUGACUCGGGUAGGAGGGGAAAAUGAGCCAGCUACUGUAGCUGUAGCUAGUCGAUCGACUCGAAUUGAAUUUCAUGGGGAUGAAAUGCCACAAGAAACUGUGCAAUUUCCUCCUGCUGUGACGGGCCAAAGUUCAUCUGUAUCUCGAUCUACCAUCAUUUCUACAAAUCGUCGAGGAAUGUCCUUUAAUAAUCGUGCUGCUAGCCAUUCUUCAUCACCGAAUGAAGACAGAGGAGGACCAUCAGAACUUCAGUCAGGGUCUUUCAAAUCUAGACUCAAUGCAGUGUCAAUAAGAUACAGAGAGUCUAUUUCAAGAAGUACAAGAGGGUGGAAGGAAAGGCUGUUCUCUCGUAGCAGUUCGGUGUCAGAUCUUGGUUCUGAACUCAGGAGAGAAGUGAAUGCUGGAAUUGCGAGUGUAUCUCGUAUGAUGGAGUGCAUUGAAACCAGAGAUAAUAGACGAGCUAACCGAGCCUCCAUACCAACUCAUUCAACUGAAUAUUUGGUUGCAGAAAGGAGCAACCAAAAUAGUAGUCACAUUCGCAGACAGAGCACUAGAAAUGAAAGCAAAACACCGGCUUCUUAUGGUGCAAGCUCAGCUUCUUCUUAAGAGUUAAUGAUUGUUUCAGGGUAUCUGUCCUCAGCAUUUCAUCUUUGAAGGUUGUAAACUGCUUUUCUCCAAAUAUGACAUGCUGAGGAAAAGAUACUUUGAUAUUAGAGGCUGGGAAGUGAUCAUUCGCCUGAAACCCAAUAAGAGAGGUAAGAUGAAAUCUUGAGAAAGAUUCCAAAGAUACUAUGUAAAUUUGUUUGACACCCAGAUUUGUUUCCUAGGCAGAAAAAUUAUUUUAAAAAAGACCAAAAAAAAAAGAAAAAAAAAGAAGAGGAACAUGUAUUUGAACUAUGUCUGGAUUGUUUGACUGUGGCACAAAUUGAAUAGUAAUAUAUAUCUAGUAAUACAUAUCGGUAAAAUUCUUAA